CUCGUUAGCAUAAGUAUCAACUCAUUCUGAAUUUUGUGUCCUAGAUAAUGAUAAUGAAUCUCUUUACUUUUUAUUCGACGAACAUGCUCUUGCAUUACGGGGUCGAACUCAGCAAUCAUUUGAAUCAUGCUUAAAAAGAUACCAUUAUUUUCUUGAUAUAUCUUCUCAUUGUCCCCACGAAAUGCUAAAUUAUUCUUAGCAAGAGUUUUCACAACAUAUAUUAUUCUCAAAAAUACUUGUCUCCAAUGUUCUCUAUCUCUAUUGAUUUGUUCUUGCACACUUUUGUCAAUUAUUUUACUCUUUUCAAAUCUUAAUUCCAUUUCUAUCCAUUUAUUCAUGUUAUUGAUGUGAUCACAACUUGCUUCAUGCAUUUUAAGUUUUUCACCAACAUUUUUCCA
RNAcentral lists this long non-coding RNA (398 nucleotides) under Olea europaea subsp. europaea. The record is from RNAcentral. Lineage: Eukaryota; Viridiplantae; Streptophyta; Magnoliopsida; Lamiales; Oleaceae.